Molecule: ribosomal RNA, 164 nt
Filed under: uncultured bacterium
Lineage: Bacteria
Description: partial 16S ribosomal RNA
Rfam family: Bacterial small subunit ribosomal RNA
Source: RNAcentral
UAGGGAAUCUUCCACAAUGGGCGAAAGCCUGGUGGAGCAACGCCGCGUGUGUGAUGAAGGGUUUCGGCUCGUAAAACACUGUUGUAAGAGAAGAAUGACAUUGAGAGUAACUGUUCAAUGUGUGACGGUAUCUUACCAGAAAGGAACGGCUAAAUACGUGCCAG